This 447-nucleotide ribosomal RNA is filed under the name uncultured bacterium. RNAcentral describes it as "bacterial SSU rRNA". It matches the Rfam family "Bacterial small subunit ribosomal RNA", at positions 470 to 916 of the family's 1533-position model. The record is from RNAcentral.
UGACGUUAACUUUAGAACAAGCACCGGUUAACUCCGUGCCAGCAGCCGCGGUAAUACGGAGGGUGCAAGCGUUAAUCGAAAUUACUGGGCGUAAAGCGUGCGUAGGCGGUUUAUUAAGUCAGAUGUGAAAGCCCCGGGCUUAACCUGGGAACUGCAUUUGAAACUGGUAAACUAGAGUAUGGUAGAGGAAAGUGGAAUUUCUGGUGUAGCGGUGAAAUGCGUAGAUAUCACAAGGAACAUCAAUGGCGAAGGCAACUUUCUGGACCAAUACUGACGCUGAGGUACGAAAGCGUGGGUAGCAAACAGGAUUAAAUACCCUGGUAGUCCACGCCGUAAACGAUGAUAACUAGCCGUUGGGGGGAUUUACCCUUUAGUGGCGAAGCUAACGCGUUAAGUUAUCCGCCUGGGGAGUACGGCCGCAAGGUUAAAACUCAAAUGAAUUGACGG